This 321-nucleotide ribosomal RNA is filed under the name Salmonella enterica subsp. enterica serovar Saintpaul. RNAcentral describes it as "bacterial LSU rRNA". It matches the Rfam family "Bacterial large subunit ribosomal RNA", at positions 1252 to 1574 of the family's 2925-position model. Lineage: Bacteria; Pseudomonadati; Pseudomonadota; Gammaproteobacteria; Enterobacterales; Enterobacteriaceae. The record is from RNAcentral.
GAAGGUGGCCUGUGAGGGUUGCUGGAGGUAUCAGAAGUGCGAAUGCUGACAUAAGUAACGAUAAAGCGGGUGAAAAGCCCGCUCGCCGGAAGACCAAGGGUUCCUGUCCAACGUUAAUCGGGGCAGGGUGAGUCGACCCCUAAGGCGAGGCCGAAAGGCGUAGUCGAUGGGAAACGGGUUAAUAUUCCCGUACUUGGUGUUACUGCGAAGGGGGGACGGAGAAGGCUAUGUUGGCCGGGCGACGGUUGUCCCGGUUUAAGCGUGUAGGUGUGUGUUCCAGGUAAAUCCGGUUCACUUUAACACUGAGGCGUGACGACGAGG